GACCGUCUUAUUUGAAAUCUUGGAAUCUCUUUUGGUGAGGUUAGGGCCAUCCUUUUUCUUCACCAUCACAUUGGUACUUAAUUCAGCCUAGUCCAUUUUCCAGCUUAUCUUUUGGAUUUUCGCCUUCUCUGCUCUCUUCUCCACUAGGACCUCGUCAUGGGAUACUUUCCUUUAUAAUUUUCGGACACAUGUGUGGUCCUUUUGUUGGAUCGGAAUUCCUGGUGAUAGGCCAACGAUUAACCUCUUUCAACCUCGAACUUCUGCCACUUUCCAUGGCCACGUUUUCU
Molecule: long non-coding RNA, 287 nt
Filed under: Lathyrus oleraceus (garden pea)
Lineage: Eukaryota; Viridiplantae; Streptophyta; Magnoliopsida; Fabales; Fabaceae
Description: Pisum sativum (pea) long non-coding RNA (PSAT_LNC007071)
Source: RNAcentral